Molecule: ribosomal RNA, 304 nt
Filed under: uncultured bacterium
Lineage: Bacteria
Description: bacterial SSU rRNA
Rfam family: Bacterial small subunit ribosomal RNA
Source: RNAcentral
AUUGAACGCUGGCGGCAUGCCUUACACAUGCAAGUCGAACGGCAGCACGGGAGCAAUCCUGGUGGCGAGUGGCGAACGGGUGAGUAAUACAUCGGAACGUGCCCGAUCGUGGGGGAUAACUACUCGAAAGAGUAGCUAAUACCGCAUACGACCUACGGGUGAAAGCAGGGGAUCUUCGGACCUUGCGCGAUUGAAUGAGCCGAUGUCGGAUUAGCUAGUUGGCGGGGUAAAGGCCCACCAAGGCGACGAUCCGUAGCUGGUCUGAGAGGAUGAUCAGCCACACUGGAACUGAGACACGGUCCAG